Orcinus orca (killer whale) is the source of this 465-nucleotide long non-coding RNA. RefSeq lists it as uncharacterized. The record is from RefSeq and is a predicted model, not a curated record. The transcript is spliced from 3 exons. NCBI's taxonomy places the organism in Eukaryota, Metazoa, Chordata, Mammalia, Artiodactyla, Delphinidae.
UGUGCAGAGUAUUUAGAGCCGGAGCGCACACCUCUCCAUUCUCUGGUCAAAGAAGAAAAGUUUCCUUUGCUUCUGAACCAAAUUUCAUCUCGUUAUUUGCACGAAGGAUACCAGGAAGGAGGACCCUUGUUGGGGAUUGACUCAGGAAGGUCGGUGACAAAGAAAGGUUGAAGCCAACCGUCAGAAAGAUGAAGACUCCAGCCAAGAGAUAACGCAGAUCCUUCCAGAGUUGCUGUAGAGCACACUAGUCAACGUCCCUGGAAAGAUGAGAAAAUGAUUGUGAAAAUGCCCUUCUUCAGUAUCUCCCUUCUCUUUCUAGAAAGACUAAGAAGCAAGGCUCAGGGAGAAGGCAGCCAUCUGUAAGGCAGGAAGAGGGCCCUCGCCAGAAACUGAAUUAGCCAGCACCUUGACCUUGGACUUCUCAGCCUCCAGAACUGUGAGAAAUAAAUUUCUGUUGUUUAAGCC